AUGAUUGUCCUUAUACCAAAAGGAAAUGAUCCCCAAACAGUAAAGGACUACAGACCCAUUAGCCUCUGUAACGUUAUAUAUAAGGUGGUGUCGAAAUGCCUGGUCAAUCGGCUUCGACCCCUGCUGGACGGAAUUAUAUCAGAGAGUCAAAGUGCCUUUAUCCCAGGCAGGAUGAUUACGGACAACGCCAUUAUC
Molecule: ribosomal RNA, 195 nt
Filed under: Triticum aestivum (bread wheat)
Lineage: Eukaryota; Viridiplantae; Streptophyta; Magnoliopsida; Poales; Poaceae
Description: partial small subunit ribosomal RNA
Source: RNAcentral